CGCUCACUUAUAUAUUCCAUUGUACUAAAAUGUAAAAAUGGACCACAGAAUAUUUGGAUGUUACUGCUCUGAACACAGAUUUUAUUCUGCCGUCUUUGAUGUUGACCAAACUUUGCAUAUUUGAAUUCAACACUUCUAUUUUACAAUUAUUUUUGUAAUGAAAUACUGCCCAGUUAUUUCAACAGCAACUGUUACUUUUUUGCAGAAUAUAUCAUGAGUGGUUUACAAUGUUUGUUUUCUUCUAAGCUGCUAAACCUUACCGGACACAUGCACAGAUCAGGAAAAAAAAUUGGAGGGAGGCAAACCAAAGGAAGCAAUUAAAAAAAAAUUAUUAAAAAAAAAAGAAAAAGAAAACCUUGCCCUUGGAUCUCAAUUUGGAGAAAAAGUUCAACUGUCUAGCAUUAACCUGCUCUUCUUGCAAAUAUAAUCCCAUCACAAACAAUAAUGACCAGUUAAAUUUUACGAGGCAGGGACAGACUGGUCAAAUCCAGUUAAACUAGUUAAAGCAGUGCAGGAAGGCACAUAUAGGAAGCUCGGGGAAUUUUUGCUGAAUUAACAUGCCGUUUUACUAUACAUCAGCCUCAAUACCUCAUUCAUGUGUUCACUUUUACCACACCUGGCACCUGUUCAAGCCAUUCCUUACUAUUCUGAAUGAUAUGAAUGCUGCGUUACAACAUGACAUCAGCAUUCAAGCUUUAAAACAAUGAACAGAUUAUACCUUUAGUUACCUUUAGUCAUUUUAAGUCAACAGCAUACCGUUUUUGUUUUCAACAUUUUUAUUACUUGUUAACAUGGUUUUAACACCAUUAAUUGUAUACAGUACUUGUGUAAAAUGUAGCAAGAAAACAAGGCCUCAGUACAAUGUGUGAAUGUUCAAAGGCACAUCCAUAAGCAUACAUUCAAACGACAGACCGCAAUCUGACAUGCUGUUUAGAGUUCAAACAAAUUUGCUUUAUGAAUUUCCAUUUGCCAAAGUUCAAGCUGCUUUGUAAAAUGAACAGGACAAACAUCUCAUAAUUUGGUAAUGCUAUGUGAAAUAGUAGAGCAAACUGAAUCAGCUUUGACCCUGA
Long non-coding RNA from Sinocyclocheilus anshuiensis, 1070 nucleotides. RefSeq lists it as uncharacterized. NCBI's taxonomy places the organism in Eukaryota, Metazoa, Chordata, Actinopteri, Cypriniformes, Cyprinidae. The record is from RefSeq and is a predicted model, not a curated record. The transcript is spliced from 2 exons.